AGUGCAGAGAGCGCUCCCCGCAGGUCGGUAUACAGGUGGUGCAUGGUUGUCGUCAGCUCGUGUCGUGAGAUGUUGGGUUAAGUCCCGCAACGAGCGCAACCCUUGAUCUUAGUUGCCAUCAUUAAGUUGGGCACUCUAAGGUGACUGCCGGUGACAAACCGGAGGAAGGUGGGGAUGACGUCAAAUCAUCAUGCCCCUUAUGACCUGGGCUACACACGUGCUACAAUGGACGGUACAAAGAGUCGCAAGACCGCGAGGUGGAGCUAAUCUCAUAAAACCGUUCUCAGUUCGGAUUGUAGGCUGCAACUCGCCUACAUGAAGCUGGAAUCGCUAGUAAUCGCGGAUCAGCAUGCCGCGGUGAAUACGUUCCCGGGCCUUGUACACACC
This 387-nucleotide ribosomal RNA is filed under the name uncultured Bacillus sp. RNAcentral describes it as "bacterial SSU rRNA". It matches the Rfam family "Bacterial small subunit ribosomal RNA", at positions 997 to 1391 of the family's 1533-position model. Lineage: Bacteria; Bacillati; Bacillota; Bacilli; Caryophanales; Bacillaceae. The record is from RNAcentral.